CAAGAAAAGAGUGUGACAUUACCAGACUAGUAUCACAUAAUUGAAGUAUAGAGACCAACACCAUUAUAAUGUAUUUAUGUCGUAUUUCAUAUUUGUUGCAUGAAUACAUUUUAAUCCAGAAUAGUGAAUCUAUUACUAUAUACCAUCUCUUUGUAUUAUUUAACAACAGUAAAUAAACAAAAAUGCAAAUUUGUUAACAUCAAAUAUUGGUAUAUAACGGGUAAUAUUUUGGUGAGAGAUAUCAUUCGAUUUUCAAUCGUCGUUCAAAACGGUUAAAGCAGUAUCCGUACUUUUUGCACGUUUAACGUACAACUCAAAAAAACCAACAAAAAUGUCUUCCAAAUUGUUUGUAUGUUUCGCUAUCUUCGCCUUGGCUGCCGUCGCCUUCGCUGCUGAACCAGCGCCAGCCAACAACCGUGCGAAAAAACACAUCAUCGCUUCAUCCUUAAUUGGUGCUUACCCACACUCGUACGGUUAUAACUACGGAUACGCCACUCCAUACAACUACGGAUACGCCACUCCAUACAGCUACGGAUACGCCACUCCAUACAGCUACGGAUACGCCACUCCAUACAGCUACGCUUCAUUCAACUCAUACCCUUACGGACACUCCGCUUACAAUCACGGCUACGGAUACGUUUACUAAAUUCGCCAUUCAAAGUUUCCUCCCCAAUCGAUCAAAUCCAAUGGACAAACCGAUAAAAUGACACAAUCCUAUGUAAUUUAAUAUUUUAUUUUUUUGUUUUUACCGUUGUUUUCUCUACGUUGAGUAAAAUAUAAAGUUUAUCACAAUAAAAA
This is a long non-coding RNA of Daktulosphaira vitifoliae (grape phylloxera), 798 nucleotides long. RefSeq lists it as uncharacterized. The transcript is spliced from 2 exons. The record is from RefSeq and is a predicted model, not a curated record. NCBI's taxonomy places the organism in Eukaryota, Metazoa, Arthropoda, Insecta, Hemiptera, Phylloxeridae.